Long non-coding RNA from Oncorhynchus keta (chum salmon), 484 nucleotides. RefSeq lists it as uncharacterized. The record is from RefSeq and is a predicted model, not a curated record. The transcript has 3 exons. NCBI's taxonomy places the organism in Eukaryota, Metazoa, Chordata, Actinopteri, Salmoniformes, Salmonidae.
CACAGAUUAUAACACUGUUAGAGAGGUCAAACACACAGAUUAUAACACUGUUAGUUCAUAGAGAGGUCAAACACACAGAUUAUAACACUGUUAGAGAGGUCAAACACACAGAUUAUAACACUGUUAGAGAGGUCAAACACACAGAUUAUAACACUGUUAGUUCAUAGAGAGGUCAAACACACAGAUUAUAACACUGUUAGAGAGGUCAAACACACAGAUUAUAACACUGUUAGUUCAUAGAGAGGUCAAACACACAGAUUAUAACACUGUUAGAGAGGUCAAACACACAGAUUAUAACACUGUUAGUUCAUAGAGAGGUCAAACACACAGAUUAUAACACUGUUAGUUCAUAGAGAGGUCAAACACACAGAUUAUAACACUGUUAGAGAGGUCAAACACACAGAUUAUAACACUGUUAGUUCAUAGAGAGGUCAAACACACAGAUUAUAACACUGUUAGAGAGGUCAAACACACAGAUUAUAAC